GAUGAACGCUAGCGGCAGGCUUAACACAUGCAAGUCGAGGGGCAGCGCGGGAUAGCAAUAUCCUGGCGGCGACCGGCGGAAGGGUGCGUAACGCGUGAGCGACAUGCCCGUUGCCCGGGGACAACCGGUGGAAACGCCGACUAAUCCCCGAUGGGAUAUUGUGCCGCAUGGCACGAUAUUGAAAGUUACGGCGGCGACGGAUUGUCUCGCGUCCGAUUAUCUUGUUGGCGGGGUAACGGCCCACCAAGGCUGCGAUCGGUAGGGGUUCUGAGAGGAAGGCCCCCCACAAAGGGACUGAGACACGGCCCAUACUCCUACGGGAGGCAGCAGUGAGGAAUAUUGGUCAAUGGGCGGAAGCCUGAACCAGCCAUGCCGCGUGCGGGAAGGAGGCCCUAUGGGCUGUGAACCGCUUUUGCCUGGGGGCAAUAAGGGCGUCGCGCACGUCCGAUGAGAGUACCAGGCGAAUAAGCAUCGGCUAACUCCGUG
RNAcentral lists this ribosomal RNA (486 nucleotides) under uncultured bacterium. RNAcentral's name for it is "partial 16S ribosomal RNA". It matches the Rfam family "Bacterial small subunit ribosomal RNA", at positions 28 to 507 of the family's 1533-position model. The record is from RNAcentral.